RNAcentral lists this ribosomal RNA (1369 nucleotides) under metagenome. RNAcentral describes it as "bacterial SSU rRNA". It matches the Rfam family "Archaeal small subunit ribosomal RNA". The record is from RNAcentral.
CUGGUUGAUCCUGCCAGAUCCGACUGCUAUCCGGGUAAGACUAAGCCAUGCCAGUUGAAUGGUAUCGCAGAUACCAUGGCGUACCGCUCAGUAACAAGUGAUCAACUUACCCUUCAGUGGGGUAUAACCUCGGGAAACUGAGGCUAAUCCCCCAUAGUUGGAGCCUCCUGGAACGGUGCUCCAUCGAAAGAUACUACGUUAUGUCGUAGAUUCGCUGAAGGAUAGGAUCGCUCUCGAUUACGGUAGUUGGUGAGGUAAUGGCUCACCAAGCCUAUGAUCGAUAAGGGCCGUGAGAGCGGGAGCCCUGAGAUGAAUACUGAGACAAUGAUUCAGGCCUUACGAGGCGCAGCAGGCGCGAAACCUUUACAAUACACGCAAGUGUGAUAAGGUUACCCGGAGUGCCGAGAGAAAAACUGUCGGCUGUUAUAGGUGUGUAAACUACCCUAUGAGAAAGGAGAGGGCAAGGCUGGUGCCAGCCGCCGCGGUAAAACCAGCUCUUCAAGUGGUCGGGACUUUUAUUGGGCUUAAAGUGUCCGUAGCCGGUUUAAUAAGUUCCUGGUUAAAUCUGGUAGCUUAACUAUCAGUUCGCUAGGAAUACUAUUUUGCUAGAGGGUGGGAAAGGUUUGGGGUACUCCAGGGGUAGCGGUGAAAUGCGAUAAUCCUUAGGGGACCACCAGUGGCGAAGGCGCCAGACUGGAACACGCCUGACGGUGAGGGACGAAAGCCAGGGGAGCGAACGGGAUUAGAUACCCCGGUAGUCCUGGCUGUAAACGAUGCGUGCUAGGUGUUGGUAGGGCUCGGAGCUGUAUCAGUGCCAAAGGGAAACUGUUAAGCGCGCCGCCUGGGAAGUACGCUCGCAAGAGUGAAACUUAAAGGAAUUGGCGGGGGAGCACCACAAGGGGUGAAGCCUGCGGUUCAAUUGGACCCAACGCCGGGAAACUUACCGAGGGCAACAGCAGAAUGAAGGUCAGGCUGACGACCUUACCAGACAAGCUGAGUGGAGGUGCAUGGCCGUCGCCAGUUCGUGCCGUGAGGUAUCCUGUUAAGUCAGGCAACGAACGAGACCCACAUGCUUAAUUGCCAUCAAUGGCCUAAGGGUCAGUUGGGAACGUUAAGCAGACCGCCAUCAUAUAGAUGGAGGAAGGAGUGGGCCACGGCAGGUCAGUAUGCCCCUAAUCCCUCGGGCCACACGCGGGCUGCAAUGGUAUGGACAAUGGGUCGCGACUCCGAAAGGAGAAGCCAAUCUCGAAACCAUAUCUCAGUUGGGAUUGUCGACUGUAACCCGUCGACAUGAACGUGGAAUCCCUAGUAAUCGUGUGUCAUCAUCGCACGGUGAAUACGUCUCUGCUCCUUGCACACACCGCCCGUC